GCACGUUCGUGCACGAGCGCGUCUACGACGAGUUCGUGGAGAAGGCCAGGGCUCGCGCUCUGCAGCGUGUGGUCGGCGACCCAUUCAGGACAGGCGUCGAGCAGGGGCCUCAGAUCGACGGCGAGCAAUUCAAGAAGAUCUUGCAGUACGUCAAGUCGGGCGUGGACAGUGGCGCCACACUCGUGGCCGGCGGCGACAGGGCGGGCAGCAGGGGGUUCUACAUCCAGCCAACCGUCUUUGCAGACGUCGAGGACGAAAUGAAGAUCGCGCAGGAGGAGAUAUUCGGGCCGGUGCAGUCCAUCCUCAAGUUCAGCACGGUGGAGGAGGUGGUGCGGAGGGCGAACGCGACGCCAUACGGGCUGGCGGCGGGGGUGUUCACCCAGAGGCUGGACGCGGCGAACACCCUGGCGCGGGCAUUGAG
This 421-nucleotide unclassified non-coding RNA is filed under the name Hevea brasiliensis (rubber tree). The record is from RNAcentral. Lineage: Eukaryota; Viridiplantae; Streptophyta; Magnoliopsida; Malpighiales; Euphorbiaceae.